This 278-nucleotide ribosomal RNA is filed under the name uncultured bacterium. RNAcentral describes it as "partial 16S ribosomal RNA". It matches the Rfam family "Bacterial small subunit ribosomal RNA", at positions 506 to 784 of the family's 1533-position model. The record is from RNAcentral.
UGCCAGCAGCCGCGGUAAUACGGGGGGGCAAGCGUUAUUCGGAAUUACUGGGCGUAAAGGGCACGCAGGCGGCCCGGUCAGUGAGAAGUGAAAGCCCUCGGCUUAACCGGGGAACGGCUUCUCAUACUGCCGAGCUUGAGUGUGGGAGAGGAGGAUGGAAUUCCCGGUGGAGCGGUGAAAUGCGUAGAGAUCGGGAGGAACACCAGUGGCGAAGGCGAUUCUCUGGACCACUACUGACGCUGAGGUGCGAAAGCGUGGGGAGCAAACAGGAUUAGAUA